ACCCAGCUGACGAGUCCCGAAUAAGACGAAACGCGCGUUAUGGGU
Molecule: non-coding RNA, 45 nt
Filed under: Schistosoma haematobium
Lineage: Eukaryota; Metazoa; Platyhelminthes; Trematoda; Strigeidida; Schistosomatidae
Source: RNAcentral